RNAcentral lists this ribosomal RNA (234 nucleotides) under Clostridioides sp. ZZV15-6383. RNAcentral describes it as "partial 16S ribosomal RNA". It matches the Rfam family "Bacterial small subunit ribosomal RNA", at positions 62 to 305 of the family's 1533-position model. Lineage: Bacteria; Bacillati; Bacillota; Clostridia; Peptostreptococcales; Peptostreptococcaceae. The record is from RNAcentral.
UUGAGCGAUUUACUUCGGUAAAGAGCGGCGGACGGGUGAGUAACGCGUGGGUAACCUACCCUGUACACACGGAUAACAUACCGAAAGGUAUGCUAAUACGGGAUAACAUAUUUGAGAGGCAUCUCUUAAAUAUCAAAGGUGAGCCAGUACAGGAUGGACCCGCGUCUGAUUAGCUAGUUGGUAAGGUAACGGCUUACCAAGGCGACGAUCAGUAGCCGACCUGAGAGGGUGAUC